This 502-nucleotide long non-coding RNA is filed under the name Homo sapiens (human). RNAcentral's name for it is "non-protein coding lnc-ZNF320-1:11". The record is from RNAcentral. Lineage: Eukaryota; Metazoa; Chordata; Mammalia; Primates; Hominidae.
GAUUUGGAUGAGUUUGAUUUCUUUUGCUAUUUCAUUGCUCUAGCUAGGACAGCCAGUAUUGAUUGAAUAGAAGGGGUGAGAGCAUUCUUGCAUCAUGUGAGAUCCUACAGGAAAAGCAUUCCAUUUUCCCUGACUGGUUAUUUCUGCUGUGGUCAUUUCAUGGAUGGUCUUUGUAUUGUUGAGGAUUGAUUUCCAGAGACUUAUGUUACUUGAGGAAGACACCAAGAAGGCAAAGAAAAGGAGCCAGGGAUGGCUCUUCCUCAGGGAUACUUGACUUUCAGAGAUGUGGCUAUAGAGUUCUCUUUGCUGGAGUGGAAACGCCUGGACCCUGCACAGAACGCUUUAUACAGGGCUGUGAUGUGGGAGAACUACAGGAACCUGGAGUCUGUGGGUGAGGAAAAUGUUCCUCCAGACAUGAAGAAUCUGUCCUUGUGUAUCUUGGCUUUUCCUGGUUUUGUAUUCUCUUUUGUGAUUUUGCCCCAUACGUGCUUUUGAUGUACAC